AUUGGUUGAAAAUCACCUGGGUCUCUGGUUAUGGGUGAGAAUCAGCUCCUGGAGCCACCAGGGGCCUCAGUUCACAGCCAACUCUCAAUGUGGGGAGGUGAAACCCAGGCCCCUCAGAGC
This 120-nucleotide small nucleolar RNA is filed under the name Catagonus wagneri (Chacoan peccary). RNAcentral describes it as "Small nucleolar RNA ACA64 (ENSCWAG00000007364.1)". It matches the Rfam family "Small nucleolar RNA ACA64". Lineage: Eukaryota; Metazoa; Chordata; Mammalia; Artiodactyla; Tayassuidae. The record is from Rfam by way of RNAcentral.